AGAGUUUGAUCCUGGCUCAGGAUGAACGCUAGCGGCAGGCUUAACACAUGCAAGUCGAGGGGCAGCAUGUCCAGCAAUGGAUGAUGGCGACCGGCGGAAGGGUGCGUAACGCGUGAGCAACAUGCCCUAUACAGGGAGAUACACCAGGGAAACUUGGUCUAAUAUCCCAUAUCAUUCAUUGAAGGCAUCUUUAAUGAAUUAAAGCUUCGGUGGUAUAGGAUUGGCUCGCGUGACAUUAGCCAGAUGGUGAGGUAACGGCUCACCAUAGCAAUGAUGUCUAGGGGUUUUGAGAGGAAGGCCCCCCACACUGGGACUGAGACACGGCCCAGACUCCUACGGGAGGCAGCAGUGAGGAAUAUUGGACAAUGGAUGGAAAUCUGAUCCAGCCAUGCCGCGUGCAGGAAGACGGCCUUAUGGGUUGUAAACUGCUUUUAUACGGGAGCAAUAAGGGUUACGAGUAAUCCGAUGAGAGUACUGUAUGAAUAAGGAUCGGCUAACUCCGUGCCAGCAGCCGCGGUAAUACGGAGGAUCCGAGCGUUAUCCGGAAUUAUUGGGUUUAAAGGGUGCGUAGGCGGCCAUUUAAGUCAGCGGUGAAAUUUUGCAGCUUAACUGUAACAGUGCCGUUGAUACUGUUUGGCUAGGAUUUGGUUGUAGUGUGCGGAAUGUGUGGUGUAGCGGUGAAAUGCAUAGAUAUACCACAGAACACCGAUUGCGAAGGCAGCUUACUAAACUGUCACUGACGCUGAUGCACGAAAGCGUGGGUAUCAAACAGGAUUAGAUACCCUGGUAGUCCACGCUGUAAACGAUGAUUACUGGUUGUUUGCGAUACACUGCAAGUGACUGAGCGAAAGCAUUAAGUAAUCCCCCUGGGGGGUACGUCGGCAACGAUGAAACUCAAAGGAAUUGACGGGGGGCCCGCACAAGCGGAGGAACAUGUGGUUUAAUUCGAUGAUACGCGAGGAACCUUACCUGGGUUUAAAUGGGGAGUGACAGGCUUGGAAACAGGCCCUUCUUCGGACACUCUUCAAGGUGCUGCAUGGUUGUCGUCAGCUCGUGCCGUGAGGUGUCGGGUUAAGUCCCAUAACGAGCGCAACCCCUAUCGAUAGUUACCAGCACGUUACGGUGGGGACUCUAUCGAGACUGCCGGUGUAAACCGUGAGGAGGGUGGGGAUGACGUCAAAUCAGCACGGCCCUUACAUCCAGGGCUACACACGUGUUACAAUGGCCGGUACAAAGGGCAGCUACACAGCGAUGUGAUGCUAAUCUCCAAAUCCGGUCUCAGUUCGGAUCGAAGUCUGCAACCCGACUUCGUGAAGCUGGAUUCGCUAGUAAUCGCGCAUCAGCCAUGGCGCGGUGAAUACGUUCCCGGGCCUUGCACACACCGCCCGUCA
Molecule: ribosomal RNA, 1391 nt
Filed under: uncultured bacterium
Lineage: Bacteria
Description: 16S ribosomal RNA
Rfam family: Bacterial small subunit ribosomal RNA
Source: RNAcentral